UACGUAGGGUGCAGGCGUUAAUCGGAAUUACUGGGCGUAAAGCGUGCGCAGGCGGCUCCUUAAGUCAGAUGUGAAAGCCCCGGGCUUAACCUGGGAACUGCGUUUGAAACUGGGGAGCUGGAGUGUAGAAGAGGGGGGUGGAAUUCCAGGUGUAGCAGUGAAAUGCGUAGAUAUCUGGAGGAACACCGGUGGCGAAGGCGGCAUCCUGGACCAUUACUGACACUGAAAAGCGAAAGCCAGGGGAGCAAACGGG
Molecule: ribosomal RNA, 253 nt
Filed under: uncultured bacterium
Lineage: Bacteria
Description: partial 16S ribosomal RNA
Rfam family: Bacterial small subunit ribosomal RNA
Source: RNAcentral